RNAcentral lists this ribosomal RNA (587 nucleotides) under uncultured Glomus. Its description in RNAcentral is "SSU rRNA". It matches the Rfam family "Eukaryotic small subunit ribosomal RNA", at positions 624 to 1213 of the family's 1831-position model. Lineage: Eukaryota; Fungi; Glomeromycota; Glomeromycetes; Glomerales; Glomeraceae. The record is from RNAcentral.
AAGCUCGUAGUUGAAUUUCGGACUCAAUUUGUUGGUCGUGCCUCGGUACGUACUGGUAUUAUUGGUUUCUACCUUCUGAAGAACCUUCAUGUCAUUAAUUUGGUGUCUUGGGGAAUCAGGACUGUUACUUUGAAAAAAUUAGAGUGUUUAAAGCAAGCAUACGCUUGAAUACAUUAGCAUGGAAUAAUGAAAUAGGACGUUUGAUUCUAUUUUGCUGGUUUCUAGGAUCGACGUAAUGAUUAAUAGGGAUAGUUGGGGGCAUUAGUAUUCAAUUGUCAGAGGUGAAAUUCUUGGAUUUAUUGAAGACUAACUACUGCGAAAGCAUUUGCCAAGGAUGUUUUCAUUAAUCAAGAACGAAAGUUAGGGGAUCGAAGACGAUCAGAUACCGUCGUAGUCUUAACCAUAAACUAUGCCGACUAGGGAUCGGAUGAUGUUAAUUUUUUAAUGACUCAUUCGGCGCCUUACGGGAAACCAAAGUGUUUGGGUUCCGGGGGGAGUAUGGUCGCAAGGCUGAAACUUAAAGGAAUUGACGGAAGGGCACCACCAGGGGUGGAGCCUGCGGCUUAAUUUGACUCAACACGGGGAAA